Molecule: ribosomal RNA, 851 nt
Filed under: Bacillus sp. (in: firmicutes)
Lineage: Bacteria; Bacillati; Bacillota; Bacilli; Caryophanales; Bacillaceae
Description: bacterial SSU rRNA
Rfam family: Bacterial small subunit ribosomal RNA
Source: RNAcentral
CCGGACGUUAGCGGCGGACGGGUGAGUAACACGUGGGCAACCUGCCCCUUAUACUGGGAUAACUCCGGGAAACCGGAGCUAAUACCGGAUAAUCCCUUUCUCCACCUGGAGAGAGGGUGAAAGAUGGCUUCGGCUAUCACUAGGGGAUGGGCCCGCGGCGCAUUAUCUAGUUGGUAAGGUAACGGCUUACCAAGGCGACGAUGCGUAGCCGACCUGAGAGGGUGAUCGGCCACACUGGGACUGAGACACGGCCCAGACUCCUACGGGAGGCAGCAGUAGGGAAUCUUCCGCAAUGGACGAAAGUCUGACAGAGCAACGCCGCGUGAGUGAGGAAGGCCUUCGGGUCGUAAAGCUCUGUUGUGAGGGAAGAAACGGUACCGUUCGAAUAGGGCGGUACCUUGACGGUACCUCACCAGAAAGCCACGGCUAACUACGUGCCAGCAGCCGCGGUAAUACGUAUGUGGCAAGCGUUGUCCGGAAUUAUUGGGCGUAAAGCGCGCGCAGGCGGCUUCUUAAGUCUGAUGUGAAAUCUCGGGGCUCAACCCCGAGCGGCCAUUGUAAACUGGGGAGCUUGAGUGCAGAAAANGAGAGUGGAAUUCCACGUGUANCGGUGAAAUGCGUAUAGAUGUGGAGGAACACCAGUGGCGAAGGCGACUCUCUGGUCUGUAACUGACACUGAGGCGCGAAAACGUGGGGAGCANACAGGAUUANAUACCCUGGUANUCCACGCCCUANACGAUGAGUGCUAUGUGUUANGGGUUUCGAUGCCCGUAGUGCGCAAAUUUACACAUUAAGCACUCCGCCUGGGGGAGUACAGCCGCAAGGCUGANACUCACAGGAAUUGACAGGGA